CCCUUAGAUGUUCUGGGCUGCACGCGCGCUACACUGAUGCAUCCAACAAGUUUUCUCCCUUGUUCGGUAGGACUGGGUAAUCUUUUGAGUAUGCAUCGUGAAGGGGAUAGAUUAUUGCAAUUAUUAAUCUUCAACGAGGAAUUCCUAGUAAGCGCGAGUCAUCAGCUCGCGCUGAUUACGUCCCUGCCCUUUGUACACACCGCCCGUCGCUCCUACCGAUUGGAUGAUCCGGUGAGCUAUUCGGACCUUCGCUUCGUCGAUUUUCGGCUUUGUGAGGGAAAGUCUCGCGAACCUUAUCAUCUAGAGGAAGGAGAAGUCGUAACA
Molecule: ribosomal RNA, 324 nt
Filed under: uncultured eukaryote
Lineage: Eukaryota
Description: partial 18S ribosomal RNA
Rfam family: Eukaryotic small subunit ribosomal RNA
Source: RNAcentral